Molecule: ribosomal RNA, 460 nt
Filed under: uncultured bacterium
Lineage: Bacteria
Description: partial 16S ribosomal RNA
Rfam family: Bacterial small subunit ribosomal RNA
Source: RNAcentral
CCUACGGGAGGCAGCAGUGAGGAAUAUUGGUCAAUGGACGAGAGUCUGAACCAGCCAAGUAGCGUGAAGGAUGACUGCCCUAUGGGUUGUAAACUUCUUUUAUAUGGGAAUAAAACGUUCCACGUGUGGGAUUUUGUAUGUACCAUAUGAAUAAGGAUCGGCUAACUCCGUGCCAGCAGCCGCGGUAAUACGGAGGAUCCGAGCGUUAUCCGGAUUUAUUGGGUUUAAAGGGAGCGUAGGUGGAUUGUUAAGUCAGUUGUGAAAGUUUGCGGCUCAACCGUAAAAUUGCAGUUGAAACUGGCAGUCUUGAGUACAGUAGAGGUGGGCGGAAUUCGUGGUGUAGCGGUGAAAUGCUUAGAUAUCACGAAGAACUCCGAUUGCGAAGGCAGUUCACUGGACUGCAUCUGACACUGAGGCUCGAAAGUGUGGGUAUCAAACAGGAUUAGAUACCCGUGUAGUC